UGGGUUUUGCUUCGGGCCUGGAUAGCUAUUCUAUCUGCAGGGAUCUGGCUGCCCAAACGUGAAGAGGCAAUGCUCAGAAAAGAAGAACGUGCAUAUGCGUGCAGGUUUGGGGAGAUGCACAUGGUACCUGCCAGGAUCCUCAAGAGAUCCACUAUUGACCUGAUCAUCAGAGGGAGCAGGUCUGGGCUCCAUCACCCCCAGCCCUGCCAGCUGGGUCCUCGGGAAAGCAAGCAAGAACACAAUGCGUUUUUGAGGUUCAUGGGGGAGCUGAGCUCUCAUCACUUCCUGUGGGCCUUCCUGAGCACAAGAUCCUCUCUCUUGCAUCAGGCAACCCAGGAGCUUCUGAUAAACUGCUCCACAAGCUUGAGCCAGAGUUAAUGUUAACCACUGACCACCACUGAGCACUUGCUGUGUGCUAAGCCUUAUCUCAUUAAACCCUCACCACAGUCCUGCAAGGUUUGCCUCUGGAAGGUGGAAUCUAGCUUACUCCUGCAGCCUGCUGAAGACCUGUGCUCCAGGGGACAGGAAUGGAUGGAGCAGGUGCAGAUGGGCCGUGGACAAAGCAAUAGCAGCAGCCGCAGCGCAGAGACAAAGUCACAUGUCAUGGGCCUUUUAGAGAGCUACCUCAACUCUCUUACAACCUUUCCUGUUCCACCUUAUCCUGCCUCAUGCUGGACAUCAGAGUGAAAAGAAAGAUAGCAGAGACCAUUCUUGAAUAAGGAAGCCAUGGGGGAGAAUGGAGCAGGGACCAAGACUGUACUUCAGAGAGGUGUGAGCCAAGGUCAUGCUUUUGGUCAGAGAAGCGUGCUCAUGUCUGGCUCCCUCCAGGAUCACUGAUGCCUCCUGGAAAUACAUAGAAGUUCUGGACCAGCCUUGGCAAUGAAGCAGUAUGGCCGGUGAUGGCAGGCAAAUCCUUCUAGUCCUAUGAACUCGGACACCCUUGUUUGUGGGAUGGAGACAAUGUUGUCCUUACCCGGUCACAAAGCGAAUCCAGGUGUGUGAGGAUCUGUGUUCUCUGUCCCUUUCUCUCUCUGAACUUUCAGUUUCUUUCUCUGUCAGGCAAUGGCCAGACUACAAUUCUCCAAAGUGCCUUCCCUCUUGGACCUUGAUGGAACUGGAAAGGGGCCUAUAGUUUUUCAGCACAGGAAAAAAAUUGAGGUGAGAGUUUAGACAAUGGCCAGUUUCUCUGACAAUUCUUUUCCUGAAUAAAAGGAAGUCCACUUCAGUUUCUAGAGCAGGCCUGCGGUUUUUUUGAUCACUGGGCUGAUAGCUUAGCUAUUUUGAAGCCCAUUAGGGAAUGUAAUAGUGUUCCCAAUUUCCACAUGUGACCUCUGGUGUUGUGAAGCAUGUCCAUUGCUGGGAACUAACCCUUGAUGGGGAUAAAUGAGUCACAAGUUAACUGAAGGGUGGGGACAGUGUUCCAUUUGUAAUUCAAUAGUUCAGUUAGAACCACCUCCAGAUAGGCCCUGUCCUCAACA
Peromyscus eremicus (cactus mouse) is the source of this 1478-nucleotide long non-coding RNA. RefSeq lists it as uncharacterized. The transcript has 4 exons. The record is from RefSeq and is a predicted model, not a curated record. Lineage: Eukaryota; Metazoa; Chordata; Mammalia; Rodentia; Cricetidae.